AAAGAAAUGGGAAUUGG
This 17-nucleotide microRNA is filed under the name Corchorus capsularis. Its description in RNAcentral is "sRNA CCACVL1_10190". Lineage: Eukaryota; Viridiplantae; Streptophyta; Magnoliopsida; Malvales; Malvaceae. The record is from RNAcentral.